Molecule: ribosomal RNA, 424 nt
Filed under: Actinomycetes bacterium
Lineage: Bacteria; Bacillati; Actinomycetota; Actinomycetes
Also listed under: 2 other names
Description: Actinobacteria bacterium partial 16S ribosomal RNA
Rfam family: Bacterial small subunit ribosomal RNA
Source: RNAcentral
UGAGGAAUAUUGGUCAAUGGGCGUGAGCCUGAACCAGCCAAGUAGCGUGCAGGAAGACGGCCCUAUGGGUUGUAAACUGCUUUUAUGCGGGGAUAAAGGAGUCCACGUGUGGAUUUUUGCAGGUACCGCAUGAAUAAGGACCGGCUAAUUCCGUGCCAGCAGCCGCGGUAAUACGGAAGGUCCGGGCGUUAUCCGGAUUUAUUGGGUUUAAAGGGAGCGUAGGCCGCGUUUUAAGCGUGUUGUGAAAUGUAGACGCCCAACGUCUGCAUCGCAGCGCGAACUGGGACGCUUGAGUACGCGCAACGUUGGCGGAAUUCGUCGUGUAGCGGUGAAAUGCUUAGAUAUGACGAGGAACUCCGAUUGCGAAGGCAGCUGACGGGAGCGGCACUGACGCUUAAGCUCGAAGGUGCGGGUAUCAAACAGG